Molecule: ribosomal RNA, 311 nt
Filed under: uncultured Pelagibacterales bacterium
Lineage: Bacteria; Pseudomonadati; Pseudomonadota; Alphaproteobacteria; Candidatus Pelagibacterales
Description: SSU rRNA
Rfam family: Bacterial small subunit ribosomal RNA
Source: RNAcentral
ACGUACGCUGGCGGCACGCCUAACACAUGCAAGUCGAACGAAGUAGCAAUACUUAGUGGCAGACGGGUGAGUAACAUGUAGGUAUCUACCCUUUGGCCUGGAAUAACACGAGGAAACUUGUGCUAAUACCGGAUAAGUCUUUACAGAGAAAGCUUUAUGCACCAUUGGAUGAGCCUGCACUAGAUUAGUUUGUUGGUAGGGUAAUGGCCUACCAAGGCGACGAUCAGUAGCUGGUCUGAGAGGAUGAUCAGCCACACUGGGACUGAGACACGGCCCAGACUCCUACGGGAGGCAGCAGUGGGGAAUAUUGG